GGUCCCAUCGUCUAGUGGUUAGGACACCGGCCUCUCACGUCGGGAACGCGGGUUCGACUCCCGCUGGGAUCACCA
RNAcentral lists this transfer RNA (75 nucleotides) under bacterium. RNAcentral's name for it is "tRNA-Glu". It matches the Rfam family "tRNA". Rfam says of the family: Transfer RNA (tRNA) molecules are approximately 80 nucleotides in length. Their secondary structure includes four short double-helical elements and three loops (D, anti-codon, and T loops). The record is from RNAcentral. RNAcentral also lists the same sequence under 6 other names.